Molecule: long non-coding RNA, 1410 nt
Filed under: Ficedula albicollis (Collared flycatcher)
Lineage: Eukaryota; Metazoa; Chordata; Aves; Passeriformes; Muscicapidae
Description: lncRNA (ENSFALG00000026062.1)
Source: RNAcentral
AUGGGCUCCUUUGUAACCCGGCCUUUUUUUCCCUUUCUUUUUUUUCCUUUAUUUUUUCCCUCUCUUUUUUUUUUCUUUCUUUAUUUUUUGCCUUUCUUUUCCCCCUUUCUUUCCUUCUUUUUUUUUUCUUUUUUUACCUUUGUUUCCCGUUCUUUUCUCCUUUCUUUUUUUCCUUUCUUUUCUUCUUUUCUUUUUUCCUUUCUUUUCUCCCUUUCUUUUCUCCCUUUCUUUUUUUCCUUUCUUUUCGCCCUUUCUUUUCUCCCUUCCUUUUUUUCUUUCUUUUCUUCCUUUCUUUUUUCCUUUCUUUUCUCCCUUUCUUUUCUCCCUUUCUUUUUUUUUCCUUUAUUUUCUUCCUUUCUUUUCUCCCUUUCUUUUUUCCUUUCUUUUCGCCCUUUCUUUUCUCCCUUUCUUUUUUCUCCUUUUCUUUUUUCCUUUCUUUUCUCCCUUUCUUUUCUCCCUUUCUUUUUUUUUCCUUUAUUUUCUUCCUUUCUUUUCUCCCUUUCUUUUUUCCUUUCUUUUCGCCCUUUCUUUUCUCCCUUUCUUUUUUCUCCUUUUCUUUUUUCCUUUCUUUUCUCCCUUUCUUUUUUUCCUUUCUUUUCUCCCUUUUUUUUCUCCCUUUCUUUUUUCCUUUCUUUUCUUCUUUUCUUUUUUCCUUUCUUUUCUCCCUUUCUUUUCUCCCUUUCUUUUUUUUUCCUUUAUUUUCUCCCUUUCUUUUCUCCCUUUCUUUUUUCCUUUCUUUUUUCCUUUCUUUUUUUCCUUUCUUCCUUUCUUUUCUCCCUUUCUUUUUCUCCUUUCUUUUUUUCCUUUCUUUUUUCCCUUUCUUUUUUCCCUUCUUUUUUUCCUUUUCUGUUUUUCCUUUCUUUUCUCCCUUUCUUUUCUCCCUUUCUUUUUUUUUCCUUUAUUUUCUCCCUUUCUUUUCUCCCUUUCUUUUUUUUUCCUUUAUUUUCUCCCUUUCUUUUCUCCCUUUCUUUUUUUUUCCUUUAUUUUCUCCCUUUCUUUUCUCCCUUUCUUUUUUUUUCCUUUAUUUUCUCCCUUUCUUUUCUCCCUUUCUUUUUUUUUCCUUUAUUUUCUCCCUUUCUUUUCUCCCUUUCUUUUUUUUUCCUUUAUUUUCUCCCUUUCUUUUCUCCCUUUCUUUUUUUUUCCUUUAUUUUCUCCCUUUCUUUUCUCCCUUUCUUUUUUUUUCCUUUAUUUUCUCCCUUUCUUUUCUCCCUUUCUUUUUUCCUUUCUUUUUUCCUUUCUUUUUUUCCUUUCUUCCAUUCUUUUCUCCCUUUCUUUUUCUCCUUUCUUUUUUUCCUUUCUUUUUUCCCUUUCUUUUUUCCCUUCUUUUUUUCCUUUUCUAUGGCAUGGGGCCUCCAACCCUCCAAAUCCCUCAGUUUCUCAGUUUAUGAACUAAUGGUAAUUUGUGGGUAG